Molecule: long non-coding RNA, 756 nt
Filed under: Sus scrofa (pig)
Lineage: Eukaryota; Metazoa; Chordata; Mammalia; Artiodactyla; Suidae
Description: lncRNA (ENSSSCG00015044907.1, ENSSSCG00025033589.1, ENSSSCG00035040345.1, ENSSSCG00055022919.1)
Source: RNAcentral
AGUUACAGAUUUUCAGAAGUGCCACAUGCAGGGAAGCACUCCUGGGCUGCUCUCUGCCAGCCCCCUCCCUGUAGCAUGGCUUCGGUUCAUGGCACGGACUGAGGGAGGAAGAGGAAGCAGACUCAUGAGAGUGGGGGCGUGGGGAGUGUAGGUUGUGAAACAAUAUGAGAAACCUCCAGAGCCAGCAAAGAAAGUUUUGUUUCUGGAAUUUGGAAUACAAACUUUUUUCACAGUCAACAUUUCUGUGACUAGAAGCUCACUUUUGGCAACAUCGACCAGAUUUUCUUUCUGGAAAUGAACUUGCUUCCAUGAUGGACGUUCCUGAUGUCCUGCCUUCCUGAAACCAAAAGAAGGACCUUGUGGACUUUAAAUCCCAAGCAAAAGAGACAAAGAUGGAAAAACCAUUGGAGUACAUUCCUUCCAAGCUUUCUGAAACAGACCAUUUCGCAAGGCUUGGAGACAUGAAGUGAAUUCCCACCAUCACAGUCCAUUGGGAGUGAAGGCAAGAUUUGAACCCAGGUCUGUCCAAAUCCAGAGCCUGUAGCCUCUCCGUUCUCUCCUGCUACCUCUUCUUCAGUGGGACCUGCUAAUGUGGAACCGGUCUGAUCUCUUGCCUUCAUAAACAUAAGAUCAGCUUCGACAGCUCUCCCUGCUUCAGUGAAAUUUUUUUCCCUCUGAGUCUGGGGAAAUCACCUUCAUUAAUUAUCCCGCAGCUUUGAUUAAUUAACCUACAUCCUUCCCUCUCAGGCCUUCAGU